Molecule: small nuclear RNA, 115 nt
Filed under: Crocodylus porosus (Australian saltwater crocodile)
Lineage: Eukaryota; Metazoa; Chordata; Crocodylia; Crocodylidae
Description: U2 spliceosomal RNA (ENSCPRG00005001050.1)
Rfam family: U2 spliceosomal RNA
About the family: U2 is a small nuclear RNA (snRNA) component of the spliceosome (involved in pre-mRNA splicing).
Source: RNAcentral
UGUCCUCCAUAGGAGGUCUAUAUUGAGUAGAUUUUUGGUGUUGGAGGUGGAACUGGAGCUUGCUCCAUCUACUCCAUGCAUUGGCCUGGUAUUGCAGUGCUUCCAGGAGCCGGGC